UGAAAUCUUCCUCGGGGCCGUAUAGCCAGUACAAAAGCGAAGUAGAUGUAUACGAGUUUUACACUCUCUUCCGUUUUCACAACUGUUUAUUUUUCAGUUUCUCAGCAACUCUAGGUUUCUCAUUUCUUUUCUUUUUUUUUGGUGUAAAUGUUAAGAUAAAAAAGUAGUAAAAAGUUUAUCAUUUCUUUUCACUUGGAUAGAUGAUACCUACGUUAUUUUGUUUAACAUGGAGCAUCAACAGAUCUCGGAGCAUGUAAGAUCUGUUGUUUGUCUCGGGGAUCUGCUGGUCGUUCCAUGUUAAACUAAACAAUGUAGGUGUGUUCUCCAAUAAAUUGGCUAAGUCUAUCAUCCAAGUGAAAAGAAAAUGUGAAUCUUGCGUUGUUGUGAGACUGAAAAAAAAAAAGAAAAGAAAGAAUUUCCAGGUUUUUGAUCUUCUCCAGAGGAAUCUGAGUUUUUGCAACCACCACCAAAGAUCUCUGGUUUCUUUCUUUUAUUAUUGACUACCACCAUGUUGUGGGCUUCACAGAGGGAGAAGUUUAGAGUCUGAUGCUGUUUCUUUACAGAAGAAAGAGAACGCAAGUGUUUAAUGUAUCGUAUUCUAUUAAAACUUCAAUUAAUCUACUGGAUCAGAUUAAGAAAUUUGUAUAUGUUAAUAGGUAAUUGCUUUUGAACUUUUUUUGCGCUCGUGUUGGAUAUUCUGACCGGUCAUUUGUUCUGUGGCAUGUUGCCAUUCUGUGAGUCUUGAGUCUUUACAUUGUACUGAGAGAUAAGAAUCAAAAUGUGUUUAAAGCGUAGUUUAACAAGCAAGUGUUUGGGAAAGCUAGCAAAAUAUGACUCAAUUAUGUUUUUGAACGACUGGAUUUUCAUGCUACACAUAUAAAACAUUAUAUCUUAGGUUAAGGAUGUAAAAGCACUUUCUUGUAACGAAUCAUAACUGUAGAAUGU
This 945-nucleotide long non-coding RNA is filed under the name Brassica napus (rape). RNAcentral's name for it is "long non-coding RNA (BNAP_LNC014312)". The stretch from base 213 to 310 matches the Rfam family "MIR6032 microRNA precursor family". The record is from RNAcentral. Lineage: Eukaryota; Viridiplantae; Streptophyta; Magnoliopsida; Brassicales; Brassicaceae.